RNAcentral lists this ribosomal RNA (496 nucleotides) under uncultured bacterium. RNAcentral describes it as "partial 16S ribosomal RNA". It matches the Rfam family "Bacterial small subunit ribosomal RNA", at positions 28 to 506 of the family's 1533-position model. The record is from RNAcentral.
GAUGAACGCUGGCGGCGUGCCUAAUACAUGCAAGUCGAGCGAACGUACUAUAAGCUUGUUUCUCUGAUGUUUUCGGCUGACGUUUGAUUAACACGUGUAUAACCUACCUAUAAGACUUGUAUAACUUCGUGAAACCGUAUCUAAUACCGUAUAAUAUUUUUAACCUCAUUGUUCAAAAGUUAAAGACGGUCUUGCUUUCUCUUAUAGAUUUAUCCUCGCUUCAUUAUCUAGUUGGUAAUGUAACGGCUUACCAAGGCAACGAUUCAUAGGCGAGCUGAGAGGGUGAUCGGCAAAAAUGGAACAGAGAAAAGGUGCAGACUACUACGGGAGGCAGCAGUAGGGAAUGUUCAGAAAUGGGCGAAAGCGUGACGGAGCAACGCAGCGUGAGUGAUGAAGGUCUUCGGAUCGUAAAACGCUGUUAUUAGGGAAGAACAUAUGUGUAAGUAACUGUGAACAUAGUGACGGAACCUAAUCAGAAAGCAACGGCUAACUACGU